UACAGAGGGUGCAAGCGUUAUCCGGAUUUAUUGGGCGUAAAGCGUUUCGUAGGCGGCGGGGAAAGUUAUUUUUCAAAGACCACGGCUUAACCGGGGGAAGGGAGAUAAUACUAUUCCGCUUGAUUUUUGGUGGGGUUUCUAGAACUGAUGGUGUAGUAGUGAAAUACGUUGAUAUCAUCAGGAAUUCCAAGGGCGAAGGCAGGAAACUAACCAAGUAAUGACGCUGAGGAACGACAGCUAGGGGAGCGAAAGGG
RNAcentral lists this ribosomal RNA (254 nucleotides) under uncultured bacterium. RNAcentral describes it as "partial 16S ribosomal RNA". It matches the Rfam family "Bacterial small subunit ribosomal RNA", at positions 524 to 776 of the family's 1533-position model. The record is from RNAcentral.